Non-coding RNA from Hydra vulgaris (swiftwater hydra), 1997 nucleotides. NCBI's taxonomy places the organism in Eukaryota, Metazoa, Cnidaria, Hydrozoa, Anthoathecata, Hydridae. The record is from RefSeq and is a predicted model, not a curated record.
GCCAGAUAUUGAAGUGAACCACGCCAAACAAUUUUGCUUACAUUUGUUCAAAAUCUUUUACUUGAUUAACAAAACAGUUGUUUAGAAUUUUAUAGGUCUUUUUCUUUUUUAACGACGAUAUAGUAAUAGGCUUGAGUAUCGCGUAUUUUUGAAAACAAACUGUUUGUUAUGAAAGUUAGUUAUAAAAGUAUUGAUAUAUUCAAACAGUUUGCAUCACGAGUAGAAGUGGUUUUACGAGAAAGGAAACAGUUUGUAACACGCGUAGAAGUGGACGAAAGAUUUAUUUUAGUUAAAAUAGUCAACAAAUCAUAUCUUGCAAAUUCUUUCCAAUGUUUUGGUAAAGUAAAGGUCUCUAAGUUAUUAUGUCAGUAUGAAUCUGCCACAACAGAUGAAAUACAGAAAAAAUAGGUUAUACUACCAUGCAAGUCCAAAUUUGUUUUUAUUUCAGUUAGUAAUGUAACAUUUAGUUGAAUUUGAGGAUAAAACGGCGGUGGUUCCUGAUUGCUGGUUGUUACAAGAAUCAGCUACAUGUUAUUGGCCUCAGGGAACUGGUGGAACACAAUGGUCAAAAAUGAAAAAGUUAUUAAUUCCUAAUCACAAAGAUUGGCCUCUUUAUUCUUAUAUAAAAAUGUUGAAAAUUGGAGGUAUAUAAUUUCUAUAUCGUUUUGAAAAUUUUUGAUUAAAUGAUUGUUUCUGCAAAUUAUAAUUUUCUAGACUAUGAAAAAAUAAAAAAGGCAGAGGCUAAAUUUUUGCACUACACAAAUUUUUCUUCAAGUUGUUCGGAAAUAAAACAUGAUUUAAAGAGGAAAAAUUUGCAAACACUUUCAAUUGAGAAAAAGGUAAAAAAAUAAGAAUUCGAAAAUCAAGAAAAAGAAAAAAUCAUGUAGACAGUCAACUUCAACCACUUCCACAGAUCAAAUUGGUAAACCUUCACCAGCUAGUUCUAGCACAAACAUCACAUCUUCAAUUCUUCCUGAUUUAGUAAAACAAGCUGUGGCUGAUGUUGUUUGACCAUAUUUUCAUAGUGUUAUUAAACAGUUGGAGGAAAUUAAUUCAGAGUUAGGUGUGCAGCGCCAAAAGCAAGUUUCUAUUAAUCAUAAUACAAUUGGAAAUCUUCCACAAAACUUUAUAUUUAUAUUAAAAAAAUUGAUGAACUCUUACAGUUAAAGAGCAUUAUUCUGGAAAAUACUGAUCAAAAUGUCGAUCAAAUGCAGUUAUUUUUUUGUUUCUAAUUGAAGGAAAUGGUCUUGAUGACUGUUUGAGUAAAGUUGCUAAGAAAAUCUUGACAGCAAAACUCUCAAUGCUUUAUAACUUUACAAGAAGAAAAGGGAGGUAAAGGCAGUAGUUCAAUGUUGUAGUUUAUUAAAGAAAUCCACUAGCUGCUUUGGCCUCGGGGAAUAGGUGCCACAAAAUAGGCAAAAUAAGAAAUGCACUCACAUUAAAUAACAAACACUGACCUAUUUUUCCAUAAUUAUGGUUAUUGAAAAGUGGAGGAUUCGAGCUCAAGCUUAGAAGAAGAACUACAAAUGCCACAAACAAUGAUGCAUUAAUCAUUUCCUACACCACUACAUCUAUGUGUCUUACUUUUGUGAAAUUGUACUUACAUUUCACAAAAGGUUUGGUAAACCAGACCUGAAAGCUGAUGUUAAUGAGCAGUGGCAGAAAUAAGCCUGCAUCGGACAAACCAUUAAUGCACCUCUCUCAGAUGCCUUGACUUUUCCACUCCAAGAGAUAAAUGAUCUUCUGGAAAUCAACCUAAUUGCAAGAUUCUAAGAAGUGAUCAAGAACAUGCAGUACGAAAACUAUCCCUAAGCGACAAUUAGUCAACCGGACAAGAUGCUGCCAAAAUGGCUAUCAAGUUCAAUUGACAUGGAUGGUCUUGAAAAAAUCGCUAGGAGAGGCGUAGAGGAAAGUUCUUUAGAAGACAUUUAAUUUUUAUAUUAAAUGUAAUGAAGUGUCUUUUAUAAUGUAUUUAUUUUCUUUUUUACAUUGUUGUU